RNAcentral lists this ribosomal RNA (440 nucleotides) under uncultured bacterium. RNAcentral's name for it is "partial 16S ribosomal RNA". It matches the Rfam family "Bacterial small subunit ribosomal RNA", at positions 338 to 795 of the family's 1533-position model. The record is from RNAcentral.
CCUACGGGUGGCAGCAGUGGGGAAUAUUGCACAAUGGGGGAAACCCUGAUGCAGCGACGCCGCGUGAGUGAAGAAGUAUUUCGGUAUGUAAAGCUCUAUCAGCAGGGAAGAAAAUGACGGUACCUGAUUAAGAAGCCCCGGCUAACUACGUGCCAGCAACCGCGGGAAUACGUAGGGGGCAAGCGUUAUCCGGAUUUACUGGGUGUAAAGGGAGCGGAGACUGCAGCACAAGUCUGGAGGGAAAGGCCGGGGGUUAACCCCGGAACUGCUUUGGAGACUGUGCAGCUAGAGUGCAGGAGAGGGAAGUGGAAUUCCUAGUGUAGCGGUGAAAUGCGUAGAUAUUAGGAGGAACACCAGUGGCGUAGGCGGCUUACUGGACUGUAACUGACGUUGAGGCUCGAAAGCGUGGGGAGCAAACAGGAGUAGAUACCCUUGUAGUC